AAUAUCAUACUCAAAAACACCAAUUUGAAUUUUCGACACCUAUCAUCACUACCUUAGCAAACUUGACCAUAUAUCAACACAUCCAAACACACCAAACUAUCCAUUUAUUAACUCAAUGUUCACUAUCAAUUUCCAUACCUCAAUGAUCACAUUCAGGCAUAUCAAAACAACAUUUUAUAACAUGCAUUUUAUAUACCAUUCCAACUCCCAACCUUUAAGCACCAACAUGCCAAAAUAUCAAUAUUAUAAGACCAC
This 255-nucleotide long non-coding RNA is filed under the name Gossypium barbadense (sea-island cotton). Its description in RNAcentral is "long non-coding RNA (GBAR_LNC014953)". Lineage: Eukaryota; Viridiplantae; Streptophyta; Magnoliopsida; Malvales; Malvaceae. The record is from RNAcentral.